UUUGAGCCUUUCUAGAACUAGUUAUCGCACCAGGGGCAUAAUUGAGAAAACAAUGGCCUUCCUUAGGCCUAUAUAACUGUUGGAGUUACACCCGUGCAAAAGCAGGGUUAGGGUUCUUGUGCCACACUCUGAUACUGAAAGUGCUAUCUAUCUAUGAUGUUACAAAAUCCCUAAUCUCUCACUCUGAUUAAAAAAAAAAAAAAAAACAAAGGGAAACAUUCAUGGAAGCUAUGAACUGCUUCUGUCUCUCUCUCUCUCUCUCUCUCUCUCUCUCACAGACGCAGUUUCAGUUUAGCAUAAGCCUUGUGAUUUCUUGGAUCUUUCUUAUCUUUUGCUCUCUUUCUCUCUGAUCCCGAUGAGGCUGUGACGAUGGUUGCAGAGUGUGGAAUCGAAGGACCGGGCGCCGUCAAGCAAUGCUCGCCGGUGGCGAGGCAAUUCCAUUGCAGCCAUCCAUGGCGGCCUUGCUUUUCGAUGGCCGGUCCCUUGCUAGUACCAAAUCUGAGCCUCCACUGGAACCCUAACCCUAACCCUAUUCUCUCUGUAUUUUGGCGGCAUGUUAGAAGUUGGCAGCUACUGGAAAUGCUCAAUUACUUAUAGUUCUUGAAGGCAGCAACUCAAGACCAUGCCUGCAAUGUCUUAAGGGAUCUGGAAGAAGAUUGGCCAAUUGAAAGAUUACAAUGUACCAGAAGAUUGCUUGCAUUGAAUCUUCCCCAAGUGGUUGCUGCUUGCUACGCGAAGUAUAUUGUUGCUGUAUAGUGUAGACAUGAAUAUGUAACUUUUGGUUUUGCAUAAGUCCUAAGACUCUGAGUGAUAAUUAUUCUUUCAAUUCAAAGAUAUUUGAUCUUGUGGUUCAAUGUAAGUUAGGCAGUUUAAUAUUAGUAUGACAGCUGGAUUCUUUGAUUUACGAUUGAUGGUAUAUGUAUAUAUAAUAUAUGCGUGAUUCUGUUUAGAA
Long non-coding RNA from Arachis stenosperma, 952 nucleotides. RefSeq lists it as uncharacterized. Lineage: Eukaryota; Viridiplantae; Streptophyta; Magnoliopsida; Fabales; Fabaceae. The transcript has 2 exons. The record is from RefSeq and is a predicted model, not a curated record.